UCCGCUCCUUGAUGACCGCCCGCGACCCUGCGUCGUGGGAGGAACGUCCGGGCACCAAUGGAACGCCUAGUGGCUAACGGCCACCCGCUUGUGCGCAAUCAUGAGCGCGGACCAGUGCCACAGAGACGAGGCCCGCAAGGGUCAUGUGAAACGUCCCUCUCAGAGGGUUGGCCCGGGGCGAUCCCGGGUAUCACGGCAAACUCUAGGUGGUGCAAGGAGGACAUGGGUGCGUGGAAUCAGUCUUGGUUCCGAGACUCCACACUCCCCUCCGCUUGAGUCCUCUCGCAAGAUUGGACCGAGACAGAUGGUCAUCCCCCUCACGGGGACAGAACCCGGCGUACGGGGGCGGAUCCA
This 354-nucleotide RNase P RNA is filed under the name Candidatus Peribacteraceae bacterium. RNAcentral's name for it is "RNase P RNA component class A". It matches the Rfam family "Bacterial RNase P class A". From Rfam's summary of the family: Ribonuclease P (RNase P) is a ubiquitous endoribonuclease, found in archaea, bacteria and eukarya as well as chloroplasts and mitochondria. Its best characterised activity is the generation of mature 5'-ends of tRNAs by cleaving the 5'-leader elements of precursor-tRNAs. The record is from RNAcentral. Lineage: Bacteria; Candidatus Peregrinibacteriota; Candidatus Peribacteria; Candidatus Peribacterales.